UACGAAGGGGGCUAGCGUUGUUCGGAAUUAUUGGGCGUAAAGGGCGCGUAGGCGGUGUGGCAAGUCAGGCGUGAAAGCCCCGGGCUCAACCUGGGAACCGCGCUUGAGACUGGCACGCUCGAGUUCGGGAGAGGAUGGUGGAAUUCCCAGUGUAGAGGUGAAAUUCGUAGAUAUUGGGAAGAACACCGAUGGCGAAGGCGGCUCUCUGGGACGGUACUGACGCUGAGACGCGAAAGCGUGGGGAGCGAACAGG
This 253-nucleotide ribosomal RNA is filed under the name uncultured bacterium. RNAcentral describes it as "partial 16S ribosomal RNA". It matches the Rfam family "Bacterial small subunit ribosomal RNA", at positions 524 to 776 of the family's 1533-position model. The record is from RNAcentral.